RNAcentral lists this unclassified non-coding RNA (83 nucleotides) under Pseudomonas helmanticensis. The record is from RNAcentral. Lineage: Bacteria; Pseudomonadati; Pseudomonadota; Gammaproteobacteria; Pseudomonadales; Pseudomonadaceae.
UUUUGUAGGAGCUGCCGCAGGCUGCGAUCUUUUGAUUUGUUUUGAAGAUCAAAAGAUCGCAGCCUGCGGCAGCUCCUACUUUU